GAUGAACGCUAGCGGCAGGCCUAACACAUGCAAGUCGAGGGGCAGCACGUAAAGAUGCAGCAAUGUAGCUUUCGGUGGCGACCGGCGGACGGGUGCGUAACGCGUAUGCAACCUACCCUUUACUCGGGGAUAACGGAUGGAAACGUCCACUAAUACCUGGUAAUAUCAGAUAGGGCAUCCUCUUUGGUUGAAAGAAUUUUGGUAUAGGAUGGGCAUGCGUAACAUUAGUUAGUUGGUGAGGUAACGGCUCACCAAGGCUACGAUGUUUAGGGGGACUGAGAGGUUAACCCCCCACACUGGAACUGAGACACGGUCCAGACUCCUACGGGAGGCAGCAGUGAGGAAUAUUGGUCAAUGGGCGGAAGCCUGAACCAGCCAUGCCGCGUGCAGGAAGACGGCUCUAUGAGUUGUAAACUGCUUUUAUACGAGGGUAAUAGUAUCUACGUGUAGGUAUUUGAAAGUAUCGUAUGAAUAAGGAUCGGCUAACUCCGUGCCAGCCGCCGCAGUAA
RNAcentral lists this ribosomal RNA (509 nucleotides) under uncultured bacterium. RNAcentral describes it as "partial 16S ribosomal RNA". It matches the Rfam family "Bacterial small subunit ribosomal RNA", at positions 28 to 523 of the family's 1533-position model. The record is from RNAcentral.